Molecule: ribosomal RNA, 492 nt
Filed under: uncultured bacterium
Lineage: Bacteria
Description: partial 16S ribosomal RNA
Rfam family: Bacterial small subunit ribosomal RNA
Source: RNAcentral
AGUGAACGCUGGCGGUAGGCCUAACACAUGCAAGUCGAACGGCAGCACAGUAAGAGCUUGCUCUUACGGGUGGCGAGUGGCGGACGGGUGAGGAAUACAUCGGAAUCUACUUUUUCGUGGGGGAUAACGUAGGGAAACUUACGCUAAUACCGCAUACGACCUACGGGUGAAAGCAGGGGAUCUUCGGACCUUGCGCGAUUGAAUGAGCCGAUGUCGGAUUAGCUAGUUGGGGGGGUAGAGGCCCACCAAGGCGACGAUCCGUAGCUGGUCUGAGAGGAUGGUCAGCCACAUGGGAAGGGGGACGGGGACCAGACGCCUAAGGGAGGGCGCAGUCGGGAAUAUUGGGCAAUGGGGGCAAGUCUGAUACAGCCAUACCGCGUGGGUGAAGAAAGCCCUCGGGUUGUAAAGACCUUUUGUUGGGAAAGAAAAGCAGCAGGUUAAUACCCCGCUUUUCUGACGGUACCCAAAGAAUAAGCACCGGCUAACUUCGUG